UCCGGUUUAUCACCGGCAGUCUCCACAGAGUCCUCGGCUUUACCCGUUAGUAACUGUGAACAAGGGUUGCGCUCGUUGCGGGACUUAACCCAACAUCUCACGGCACGAGCUGACGACAGCCAUGCAGCAUCUGUGCACGCUCCCUUGCGGGUCCCUCACCUUUCGGUUCGGUACCACGUGCAUGUCAAGCCUAGGUAAGGUUCUGCGCGUUGCAUCGAAUUAAACCACACGCUCCGCUGCUUGUGCGGGCCCCCGUCAAUUCCUUUGAGUUUUAGCCUUGCGGCCGUAGUCCCCAGGCGGAGUACUUAAUGCGUUAGCUGCGCCACCGACGAGCAAGCUCGCCAACGGCUGGCAUUCAUCGUUUACGACGUGGACUAC
RNAcentral lists this unclassified non-coding RNA (378 nucleotides) under uncultured bacterium. RNAcentral describes it as "contains 16S-23S intergenic spacer region". The record is from RNAcentral.